RNAcentral lists this unclassified non-coding RNA (316 nucleotides) under Hevea brasiliensis (rubber tree). The record is from RNAcentral. Lineage: Eukaryota; Viridiplantae; Streptophyta; Magnoliopsida; Malpighiales; Euphorbiaceae.
GACCGGAGGGAAAGUGAAAAAGGGAGCCGGAGGGAGGAAAGGUGGGGGUCCGAAGAAGAAGGCAAUUUCUAGGUCGGUCAAAGCCGGUCUGCAGUUUCCGGUUUCGAGAAUCGGGCGGUAUUUGAAGAAAGGGAGAUAUUCGCAGCGGGUUGGAAGUGGGGCUCCAGUUUACUUAGCUGCCGUUCUCGAGUACCUAGCUGCUGAAGUGCUGGAAUUGGCUGGGAAUGCAGCUAGAGACAACAAGAAGAACAGAAUAAUACCAAGGCAUGUAUUGCUGGCUGUUAGAAAUGACGAAGAGCUUGGAAAGUUGCUUGCA